UCUCUCUUCGUCUAAUGGCAAGACACCGCGCUCUGGCCGCGGCAAUCGAGGUUCGAGUCCUUGCGGGAGAACCA
RNAcentral lists this transfer RNA (74 nucleotides) under Microbacterium resistens. RNAcentral's name for it is "tRNA-Gln". It matches the Rfam family "tRNA". Rfam says of the family: Transfer RNA (tRNA) molecules are approximately 80 nucleotides in length. Their secondary structure includes four short double-helical elements and three loops (D, anti-codon, and T loops). Further hydrogen bonds mediate the characteristic L-shaped molecular structure. tRNAs have two regions of fundamental functional importance: the anti-codon, which is responsible for specific mRNA codon recognition, and the 3' end, to which the tRNAs corresponding amino acid is attached (by aminoacyl-tRNA synthetases). tRNAs cope with the degeneracy of the genetic code in two manners: having more than one tRNA (with a specific anti-codon) for a particular amino acid; and 'wobble' base-pairing, i.e. permitting non-standard base-pairing at the 3rd anti-codon position. Lineage: Bacteria; Bacillati; Actinomycetota; Actinomycetes; Micrococcales; Microbacteriaceae. The record is from RNAcentral.